AGAGUUUGAUCCUGGCUCAGGAUGAACGCUGGCGGCGUGCUUAACACAUGCAAGUCGAACGAACCUUCGGGUUAGUGGCGGACGGGUGAGUAACGCGUGAGAAUCUGCCCUCAGGAGGGGGAUAACGGCUGGAAACGGCCGCUAAUACCCCAUAUGCCGAGAGGUGAAAUGAAUUUCGCCUGAGGAUGAGCUCGCGUCUGAUUAGCUAGUUGGUGUGGUAAAGGCUCACCAAGGCAUCGAUCAGUAGCUGGUCUGAGAGGAUGAUCAGCCACACUGGGACUGAGACACGGCCCAGACUCCUACGGGAGGCAGCAGUGGGGAAUUUUCCGCAAUGGGCGCAAGCCUGACGGAGCAACGCCGCGUGAGGGAUGAAGGCCUCUGGGCUGUAAACCUCUUUUAUCAAGGAAGAAGAUCUGACGGUACUUGAUGAAUAAGCCACGGCUAAUUCCGUGCCAGCAGCCGCGGUAAUACGGGAGUGGCAAGCGUUAUCCGGAAUUAUUGGGCGUAAAGCGUCCGCAGGCGGUCUUGAAAGUCUGUUGUUAAAGCGUGGAGCUCAACUCCAUUUCAGCAAUGGAAACUAGAAGACUAGAGUGUGGUAGGGGCAGAGGGAAUUCCCGGUGUAGCGGUGAAAUGCGUAGAUAUCGGGAAGAACACCAGUGGCGAAGGCGCUCUGCUGGGCCAUAACUGACGCUCAUGGACGAAAGCCAGGGGAGCGAAAGGGAUUAGAUACCCCUGUAGUCCUGGCCGUAAACGAUGAACACUAGGUGUCGGGGGAAUCGACCCCCUCGGUGUCUUAGCCAACGCGUUAAGUGUUCCGCCUGGGGAGUACGCACGCAAGUGUGAAACUCGAAGGAAUUGACGGGGGCCCGCACAAGCGGUGGAGUAUGUGGUUUAAUUCGAUGCAACGCGAAGAACCUUACCAGGGUUUGACAUCCUGCGAAUCCCUUGGAAACUUGGGAGUGCCUUCGGGAGCGCAGUGACAGGUGGUGCAUGGCUGUCGUCAGCUCGUGUCGUGAGAUGUUGGGUUAAGUCCCGCAACGAGCGCAACCCACGUCUUUAGUUGCCAGCAUUAAGUUGGGCACUCUAGAGAGACUGCCGGUGAUAAACCGGAGGAAGGUGUGGAUGACGUCAAGUCAUCAUGCCCCUUACAUCCUGGGCUACACACGUACUACAAUGCUACGGACAAAGGGCAGCAAACUCGCGAGAGCUAGCAAAUCCCAUAAACCGUGGCUCAGUUCAGAUCGUAGGCUGCAACUCGCCUACGUGAAGGAGGAAUCGCUAGUAAUCGCAGGUCAGCAUACUGCGGUGAAUACGUUCCCGGGCCUUGUACACACCGCCCGUCACACCAUGGAAGUUGGCCACGCCCGAAGUCGUUACUCCAACCCGCAAGGGAGGAGGAUGCCGAAGGUGGGGCUGAUGACUGGGGUGAAGUCGAAACAAGGUA
Molecule: ribosomal RNA, 1444 nt
Filed under: metagenome
Description: bacterial SSU rRNA
Rfam family: Bacterial small subunit ribosomal RNA
Source: RNAcentral